ACUUGCAAAUAGCAUGUCUUGUUAAUUAAUUACACUAACCCACCCACCCCUACAGCUUUCUUCUCACUCUUAUCAUCAUCUACCUCUUUGUUUCUCUCUCUUUUUCUCUGUCUAAUUGUUACCGAGUUACCUUUUUCAAUCUUUUUACAAUUUCUCUGUCUUUCCAAUAGUCCAUAGAAGCUUGCAUUGAAAUAAAUGAAUAUAUUUUCAAUCCCUCUCGACUUUCCUCUGUUUACUUUGUGUUGUUACGCUUCAAAUUGUAAUGUUAAUAUUUUCCUUUUUUGCCAUUUCUAUAUUAUCAAUUGAAGUUGUUUUUUUUUGUUGAUUGUUAAUUAACGCUUUUCACCUUUUUGUUUUCCUAAUUUCACUUCUCUUUUUGUUCAUUUUUUGUUCAACGUUUUAACCCAUUUACCUGAUGCUGAUACUUUCUGGACUCUCAUAUCACAUCUUUUCAUCAUCAGAUUCUCAUCUUCUGUGGUUUAAAUUAACCUCAAGAGGGACUCAAGACUAUUUAUAUUUAUGAGUGUUAACUAAACAUUGGUUAACUGUCAAAUUGUAUAAUAAAAUAACUCAAUGAACCUCCUUUUUACUCAAAAACUAAAGCCCAUCAAUCAAAUAAUAUUAACCCUUAACAUGAUUUUUAUUUUCCCUUCUCUUCCUUUACUAACUUCCACUGGUUAACACCUUUUACCUUGUUAUUAUAUCUUCUUCUCUCGUGGCUCCUUUCCAAUCAUUUUGAACACAUUUAUUUCAUGUUGAAGUGUAAAGAAGGAUGGAAAUAACCAGCCAAAGGAAAGCCUCUCAAUCAGCUGAUA
Tetranychus urticae (two-spotted spider mite) is the source of this 815-nucleotide long non-coding RNA. RefSeq lists it as uncharacterized. The record is from RefSeq and is a predicted model, not a curated record. Lineage: Eukaryota; Metazoa; Arthropoda; Arachnida; Trombidiformes; Tetranychidae.